ACGGAGUUACAAAGGACGACAUUAGACGAAUCAUCUGGAAAGAUGAAUCAAAGAAGGUAAUAAUCCUGUAGUCGAAAAUGUUGUCUCUCUUGAGUGGAUCCUGAGUACGACGGAGCACGUGAAAUUCCGUCGGAAUCUGGGAGGACCAUCUCCUAAGGCUAAAUACUCUCUAGUGACCGAUAGUGAACCAGUACCGUGAGGGAAAGGUGAAAAGCACCCCGGAAGGGGAGUGAAAUAGAACCUGAAACCGUGUGCUUACAAGUAGUCAGAGCCCGUUAAUGGGUGAUGGCGUGCCUUUUGUAGAAUGAACCGGCGAGUUACGAUUUGAUGCAAGGUUAAGCAGUAAAUGUGGAGCCGUAGCGAAAGCGAGUCUGAAUAGGGCGUUUAGUAUUUGGUCGUAGACCCGAAACCAGGUGAUCUACCCUUGGUCAGGUUGAAGUUCAGGUAACACUGAAUGGAGGACCGAACCGACUUACGUUGAAAAGUGAGCGGAUGAACUGAGGGUAGCGGAGAAAUUCCAAUCGAACCUGGAGAUAGCUGGUUCUCUCCGAAAUAGCUUUAGGGCUAGCCUCAAGUGAUGAUUAUUGGAGGUAGAGCACUGUUUGGACGAGGGGCCCCUCUCGGGUUACCGAAUUCAGACAAACUCCGAAUGCCAAUUAAUUUAACUUGGGAGUCAGAACAUGGGUGAUAAGGUCCGUGUUCGAAAGGGAAACAGCCCAGACCACCAGCUAAGGUCCCAAAAUAUAUGUUAAGUGGAAAAGGAUGUGGCGUUGCCCAGACAACUAGGAUGUUGGCUUAGAAGCAGCCAUCAUUUAAAGAGUGCGUAAUAGCUCACUAGUCGAGUGACACUGCGCCGAAAAUGUACCGGGGCUAAACAUAUUACCGAAGCUGUGGAUUGUCCUUUGGACAAUGGUAGGAGAGCGUUCUAAGGGCGUUGAAGCAUGAUCGUAAGGACAUGUGGAGCGCUUAGAAGUGAGAAUGCCGGUGUGAGUAGCGAAAGACGGGUGAGAAUCCCGUCCACCGAUUGACUAAGGUUUCCAGAGGAAGGCUCGUCCGCUCUGGGUUAGUCGGGUCCUAAGCUGAGGCCGACAGGCGUAGGCGAUGGAUAACAGGUUGAUAUUCCUGUACCACCUAUAAUCGUUUUAAUCGAUGGGGGGACGCAGUAGGAUAGGCGAAGCGUGCGAUUGGAUUGCACGUCUAAGCAGUAAGGCUGAGUAUUAGGCAAAUCCGGUACUCGUUAAGGCUGAGCUGUGAUGGGGAGAAGACAUUGUGUCUUCGAGUCGUUGAUUUCACACUGCCGAGAAAAGCCUCUAGAUAGAAAAUAGGUGCCCGUACCGCAAACCGACACAGGUAGUCAAGAUGAGAAUUCUAAGGUGAGCGAGCGAACUCUCGUUAAGGAACUCGGCAAAAUGACCCCGUAACUUCGGGAGAAGGGGUGCUCUUUAGGGUUAACGCCCAGAAGAGCCGCAGUGAAUAGGCCCAAGCGACUGUUUAUCAAAAACACAGGUCUCUGCUAAACCGUAAGGUGAUGUAUAGGGGCUGACGCCUGCCCGGUGCUGGAAGGUUAAGAGGAGUGGUUAGCUUCUGCGAAGCUACGAAUCGAAGCCCCAGUAAACGGCGGCCGUAACUAUAACGGUCCUAAGGUAGCGAAAUUCCUUGUCGGGUAAGUUCCGACCCGCACGAAAGGCGUAACGAUUUGGGCACUGUCUCAACGAGAGACUCGGUGAAAUCAUAGUACCUGUGAAGAUGCAGGUUACCCGCGACAGGACGGAAAGACCCCGUGGAGCUUUACUGUAGCCUGAUAUUGAAAUUCGGCACAGCUUGUACAGGAUAGGUAGGAGCCUUUGAAACGUGAGCGCUAGCUUACGUGGAGGCGCUGGUGGGAUACUACCCUAGCUGUGUUGGCUUUCUAACCCGCACCACUUAUCGUGGUGGGAGACAGUGUCAGGCGGGCAGUUUGACUGGGGCGGUCGCCUCCUAAAAGGUAACGGAGGCGCUCAAAGGUUCCCUCAGAAUGGUUGGAAAUCAUUCAUAGAGUGUAAAGGCAUAAGGGAGCUUGACUGCGAGACCUACAAGUCGAGCAGGGUCGAAAGACGGACUUAGUGAUCCGGUGGUUCCGCAUGGAAGGGCCAUCGCUCAACGGAUAAAAGCUACCCCGGGGAUAACAGGCUUAUCUCCCCCAAGAGUUCACAUCGACGGGGAGGUUUGGCACCUCGAUGUCGGCUCAUCGCAUCCUGGGGCUGUAGUCGGUCCCAAGGGUUGGGCUGUUCGCCCAUUAAAGCGGUACGCGAGCUGGGUUCAGAACGUCGUGAGACAGUUCGGUCCCUAUCCGUCGUGGGCGUAGGAAAUUUGAGAGGAGCUGUCCUUAGUACGAGAGGACCGGGAUGGACAUACCUCUGGUGUACCAGUUGUCGUGCCAACGGCAUAGCUGGGUAGCUAUGUGUGGACGGGAUAAGUGCUGAAAGCAUCUAAGCAUGAAGCCCCCCUCAAGAUGAGAUUUCCCAACUUCGGUUAUAAGAUCCCUCAAAGAUGAUGAGGUUAAUAGGUUCGAGGUGGAAGCAUGGUGACAUGUGGAGCUGACGAAUACUAAUCGAUCGAAGACUUAAUCAA
Molecule: ribosomal RNA, 2610 nt
Filed under: Staphylococcus aureus
Lineage: Bacteria; Bacillati; Bacillota; Bacilli; Caryophanales; Staphylococcaceae
Description: partial 23S ribosomal RNA
Rfam family: Bacterial large subunit ribosomal RNA
Source: RNAcentral